Molecule: microRNA precursor, 189 nt
Filed under: Oryza brachyantha (malo sina)
Lineage: Eukaryota; Viridiplantae; Streptophyta; Magnoliopsida; Poales; Poaceae
Description: MIR812 microRNA precursor family
Rfam family: MIR812 microRNA precursor family
Source: Rfam by way of RNAcentral
AAUAAGAUCGUUUUUCAGUUUUUUAUAUAAUGUUUGGAUUCUUCGUCUUAUUUAAAAUUUUUUGCGAUCAAUAUUUUUAUUCUUACUAGAUGAUAAAAUAUAAAUAGUACUUUAUACGUGACUAAUUUUUUUAAGUUUUUUAACAAAUUUUUUAAAUAAGACGAAUGGUCAAACGUUGCACACAGAAAA